GCCCCUGUAGCUCAAUGGAUAGAGCAGCGCCCUCGCAAGGUGUGGGUUCAAGUCCCACCAGGGGUGCCA
RNAcentral lists this transfer RNA (69 nucleotides) under Chloroflexota bacterium. Its description in RNAcentral is "Chloroflexi bacterium tRNA-OTHER". It matches the Rfam family "tRNA". From Rfam's summary of the family: Transfer RNA (tRNA) molecules are approximately 80 nucleotides in length. The record is from RNAcentral. Lineage: Bacteria; Bacillati; Chloroflexota.